This 657-nucleotide ribosomal RNA is filed under the name uncultured bacterium. RNAcentral describes it as "bacterial SSU rRNA". It matches the Rfam family "Bacterial small subunit ribosomal RNA", at positions 9 to 694 of the family's 1533-position model. The record is from RNAcentral.
GAGUUUGAUCCUGGCUCAGAUUGAACGCUGGCGGCGUGCCUAACACAUGCAAGUCGAGCGAUUCUCUUCGGAGAAGAGCGGCGGACGGGUGAGUAACGCGUGGGUAACCUGCCCUGUACACACGGAUAACAUACCGAAAGGUAUGCUAAUACGAGAUAAUAUACUUUUAUCGCAUGGUAGAAGUAUCAAAGCUUUUGCGGUACAGGAUGGACCCGCGUCUGAUUAGCUAGUUGGUAAGGUAACGGCUUACCAAGGCGACGAUCAGUAGCCGACCUGAGAGGGUGAUCGGCCACAUUGGAACUGAGACACGGUCCAAACUCCUACGGGAGGCAGCAGUGGGGAAUAUUGCACAAUGGGCGAAAGCCUGAUGCAGCAACGCCGCGUGAGCGAUGAAGGCCUUCGGGUCGUAAAGCUCUGUCCUCAAGGAAGAUAAUGACGGUACUUGAGGAGGAAGCCCCGGCUAACUACGUGCCAGCAGCCGCGGUAAUACGUAGGGGGCUAGCGUUAUCCGGAAUUACUGGGCGUAAAGGGUGCGUAGGUGGUUUCUUAAGUCAGAGGUGAAAGGCUACGGCUCAACCGUAGUAAGCCUUUGAAACUGGGAAACUUGAGUGCAGGAGAGGAGAGUGGAAUUCCUAGUGUAGCGGUGAAAUGCGUAGA